GAAAUGCGAUAAGUAAUGUGAAUUGCAGAAUUCAGUGAAUCAUCGAAUCUUUGAACGCACAUUGCGCCCUUUGGUAUUCCGAGGGGCAUGCCCGUUCGAGCGUCAUUAAAUCCACUCAAGCCUGGCUUGGUAUUGGGCGUCGGGGUCUCUCCCGCGCCUCCAUUUCGCCGGCCGGCCGUCGUUAGACAUAGCGUUGUGACACAAGUCGCUAUGAAUGCCGACGGACCGCGCCGUUAAACCCUCUUGAAUAUUUCAUCGAUAUUCAGUAAAAGUUGACCUCGGAUCGGGUAGGAAUACCCGCUGAACUUAA
RNAcentral lists this unclassified non-coding RNA (310 nucleotides) under uncultured fungus. Its description in RNAcentral is "sequence contains ITS1". The stretch from base 1 to 105 matches the Rfam family "5.8S ribosomal RNA", at positions 50 to 154 of the family's 154-position model. Lineage: Eukaryota; Fungi. The record is from RNAcentral.